Molecule: ribosomal RNA, 526 nt
Filed under: uncultured bacterium
Lineage: Bacteria
Description: bacterial SSU rRNA
Rfam family: Bacterial small subunit ribosomal RNA
Source: RNAcentral
UGAGGAAUAUUGCACAAUUAGCGCAAGCUAGAUGCAGCAACGCCGCGUGGACGAUGAAGGCCUUCGGGUUGUAAAGUCCUUUUGAGAGGGACGAGUAAGGACGGUACCUCUUGAAUAAGUCUCGGCUAACUACGUGCCAGCAGCCGCGGUAACACGUAGGAGGCAAGCGUUAUCCGGAUUCAUUGGGCGUAAAGCGCACGCAGGUGGUUGGGUAAGUCGGGUGUGAAAGCCCCAGACUCAAUCUGGGGAGGUCAUUCGAUACUGCUCAACUUGAGAGCGGGAGAGGGAAGCGGAAUUCUGGGUGUAGUGGUGAAAUGCGUAGAUAUCCAGAGGAACACCAGUGGCGAAAGCGGCUUCCUGGCCCGUUUCUGACACUCAGGUGCGAAAGCGUGGGGAGCGAACGGAAUUAGAAACUCCGGUAGUCCACGCUGUAAACGGUGGGUACUGGGUGUGGGGAGUACUGACCCUCUCUGUGCCGAAGCUAACGCGUUAAGUACCCCGCCUGGGGACUACGGCCGCAAGGCUA